Molecule: microRNA, 21 nt
Filed under: Dictyostelium discoideum
Lineage: Eukaryota; Evosea; Eumycetozoa; Dictyosteliales; Dictyosteliaceae
Description: ddi-miR-7104
Source: miRBase by way of RNAcentral
AAACAAUGGCACCUCUAACAG